RNAcentral lists this ribosomal RNA (508 nucleotides) under uncultured bacterium. RNAcentral describes it as "bacterial SSU rRNA". It matches the Rfam family "Bacterial small subunit ribosomal RNA", at positions 25 to 518 of the family's 1533-position model. The record is from RNAcentral.
CAGGAUGAACGCUAGCUACAGGCUUAACACAUGCAAGUCGAGGGGCAGCAUUGGGAUAGCUUGCUAUCCAGAUGGCGACCGGCGCACGGGUGAGUAACGCGUAUCCAACCUUCCCUAUAGUAGAGAAUAGCCCCGGCGAAAAGUCGGAUUAAUGCUCUAUGUUGUGUUUUUGAGGACAUCUGACGAACACCAAAGGUUCACCGCUAUAGGAUGGGGAUGCGUCUGAUUAGGUUGUUGGCGGGGUAACGGCCCACCAAGCCUGCGAUCAGUAGGGGUUCUGAGAGGAAGGUCCCCCACAUUGGUACUGAGACACGGACCAAACUCCUACGGGAGGCAGCAGUGAGGAAUAUUGGUCAAUGGGCGAGAGCCUGAACCAGCCAAGUAGCGUGCAAGGACGACUGCCCUAUGGGUUGUAAACUGUCUUUUAUCAGGGAAUAAAGUGCGGCACGUGUGCCGUUUUGUAUGUACCUGAUGAAUAAGGACCGGCUAAUUCCGUGCCAGCCGCGGC